RNAcentral lists this ribosomal RNA (279 nucleotides) under uncultured bacterium. Its description in RNAcentral is "partial 16S ribosomal RNA". It matches the Rfam family "Bacterial small subunit ribosomal RNA", at positions 506 to 784 of the family's 1533-position model. The record is from RNAcentral.
UGCCAGCCGCCGCGGUAAUACAGAGGAGGCGAGCGUUGCUCGGAAUCAUUGGGCUUAAAGCGGAUGUAGGCGGCUUGGCAAGUGUGACGUGAAAGCUCCCGGCUCAACCGGGGAAUUGCGUUGCAAACUGCUAGGCUUGAGGUCGGUAGGGGUGUCUGGAACUCUAGGUGGAGCGGUGAAAUGCGUAGAUAUCUAGAGGAACGCCGGAGGCGAAAGCGAGACACUGGGCCGAUUCUGACGCUGAGAUCCGAAAGCGUGGGGAGCAAACAGGAUUAGAUA